GACUACCGGGGUAUCUAAUCCCGUUCGCUCCCCUGGCUUUCGUGCCUCAGCGUCAGAAGAGCUCCAGUAAGCCGCUUUCGCCACUGGUGUUCCUUAGGAUAUCAACGCAUUUCACCGCUCCACCCUAAGUUCCGCUUACCUCUAACUCCCUCGAGCCCAACAGUUUUGAGCGCAAUUCCUCGGUUGAGCCGAGGGAUUUCACACCCAACUUGUCAGGCCGCCUACGCACCCUUUAAGCCCAGUGAUUCCGAAUAACGUUUGCCCGGUUCGUGUUACCGCGGCUGCUGGCACGAACUUAGCCCGGACUUCCUCUGCGGAUAGGUCAAACCCUGCUCUUCACAGAGCCUUCCUCCCCACUGACAGCGGUUUACAACCCGAGGGCCUUCAUCCCGCACGCGGCGUCGCUCGGUCAGGCUUUCGCCCAUUGCCGAAGAUUCUCGACUGCAGCCCCCCGUAGG
RNAcentral lists this ribosomal RNA (458 nucleotides) under uncultured bacterium. RNAcentral describes it as "partial 16S ribosomal RNA". The record is from RNAcentral.